RNAcentral lists this long non-coding RNA (1905 nucleotides) under Phaseolus vulgaris (common bean). Its description in RNAcentral is "long non-coding RNA (PVUL_LNC002098)". The record is from RNAcentral. Lineage: Eukaryota; Viridiplantae; Streptophyta; Magnoliopsida; Fabales; Fabaceae.
UCCGCUUCCACUCUUAUAAAGAGGUGACCCAGUUAAAUUUUGUUGUUACACAUCUUUACUUGGCAUCAACUUCUUGAAGCAAGCAUACAAUCCAUUUUGUAAAUUCCAAAUCCUAUUCCAUAUUUGGGUUCAAAUAAUAGAACUUUGGAUUCCAAAAGUGACCAAUUGCAUGCAGGGGGCAAUGAACUUAACAUGUCCAUCUAUUAUGAAUGAUUGUAAAUACAUCCUUGUAUUUACUUUCACUGUUGUUAUUGAAUGACUUCAUUUUUGUUUCCUUGACUUUCUUUAUUGCUUCAUAUAUAUAGCCCAUAGCUACUUUUCUUUCCCCAUCCACCAGACGAAGUACAUGAACAAGAGGAGCCAUGACUUUAAGAGUAAAUACAACAUGAUUCCAAAAGAAAGGAAAAAAAAUAAUUUUUGUAGCUCAUGUUGUGAAUGUAGUUAGUCAGUUUAUGCAUGAUCCGAGAGAUAUUUUACAAGCUAUGAACAAAAUCCUUCAUUAUUUUAAGACAAGUACAGGAAGGGGAUUAUUGUUCAAGAGGAAUGAAAAACUAAAAAUAAAAGUGUAUACUGAUGCAGAUUAUGCAGUGUCACAAAUAGAAAAUCUACCUCAGGAUAUGCAUGUUCUUGGGUGGAUAUUUGAUGACUUGGAGAAGUAAGAAACAAAAUGUUGCAAGUAUCAGCCAUGGCAUCGCCAUGGCGGAUUUCGGUGGCAAUUUUCCUGACCACCGCCACAACAAGGCGGUGGUGAAUCAGAUUUUUCAUUGCAGCCCAUGGCGGCCGCUAUCGCCAUGUCGGAGUUCUAACGAAUAUCGGAAAUAUCCAAAAUAUCGGAAAAAAAUGGUGGCAGCAGAGCAUGAAGAAGAAGAGUUGCAGUUGAUGAAGAAGAAGGUCGGGGCUGAUGAAGAAGAAGGUCGGGGCUGAUGAAGAAGAAGGUCGGGGCUGAUGAAGAAGAAGGUCGGGGCUGAAGUAGAAAAAGGUUGUGGAAGACCUAAACCUAGUUUUUAAAAAACAAAAGUUGGUUGAUUCUCCCUGCACCCAAUCAAUUCUGAUUGGCACCCAAUUGUCUGUUUGAAGUGUCCAUAACACCCUUAAUGAUCUAUGUGAAAUGACCAUAACACCCUUAAUGAAGUGAAAUUAGGUUACAUGCACCCAACAACCAAGCACAGUGCACAAUGUCGUUCAUUGUUUUUUGUGGACAUUCUCUUCCGGAAGCCUUACACACACGCAAGCACCGUUCAACGUCGUUCAGGCAACGCUUUUGAGCCACUUCGACAGUGACAGAGAGCGAAGGCACCGGAGAAGUAGAUGCGUCGCAGAACAGUGAGUUUUUGCAUUUCUUGUGGGUUCCGAAUAUUUUUGUCCAUAACUGUGUUAUGAGUUUUGGAUAUAAACAUCUGUAUGCACUGCAGAUGAGCUUAUCCAGAAGUCUUUUUCAUUAGGUCCGGAUUUGAAAAUCCAAAAUGUGUUUAUUGGGUAUUUUUUUUCUGCUCUCAAUGAUGUUCUAUCUCUGCCCUCAAUGGUUAAUGCAUUUGGAAGUAUAUAAAUGAUAAUAUAAAUAUUUUAGAAUGAAAAGCAAGUGCUUUGGUUUUAUGGAUACCUUUUAAUGUUCAGUUUACUUGUAUUUUAUAAAUUGGUUUGGUUUAGUGGUUUUAAUCCAUUAAAAGUAACAAAAUCAUCACACUGCCAAAAAAGAAAGUUCAGGAUGAUUGGCUUCUGGAUAUGUAUAUCCAUAAGCAUGAUGGUGCCUUCCGGAUAAAAAUGUUCGUAGUCAAAGAGUGCUAGUUCCGGAUCCAAAAUAUCGGAAAAAAAUGGUGGCAGCAGAGCAUGAAGAAGAAGAGUUGCCGUUGAUGAAGAAGAAGGUCGGGGCUGAUGAAGAAGAAGGUCGGGUUGAUGUAGAAAAAG